AGGUUUUUGUUGAUCUUCAUGCCUCCAAGCUCACCAAGGUUUUAAUGGUAUUUCGGGACUACCAGGAUUAAGACUUUGUGGACGUUAGUCUUGUAAGUUGCCAUUAUUGAGUGAAAACCCUUAGAUUUUAUCCGGCCAGAAUUUCGUUGCAGCGAGAAUGCCUUUUCACUGCGGU
This is a non-coding RNA of Theobroma cacao (cacao), 175 nucleotides long. NCBI's taxonomy places the organism in Eukaryota, Viridiplantae, Streptophyta, Magnoliopsida, Malvales, Malvaceae. The record is from RefSeq and is a predicted model, not a curated record.